This 1414-nucleotide long non-coding RNA is filed under the name Stegodyphus dumicola. RNAcentral describes it as "uncharacterized LOC118203203, transcript variant X2". The record is from RNAcentral. Lineage: Eukaryota; Metazoa; Arthropoda; Arachnida; Araneae; Eresidae.
UAUGGGCUUUUGUAUGUAGUAGUUUGAAUGGAAAAAGAAAACGAGUUUAUUUCCUUUUAGGUAGUGAAUCAAUUAUAAACCGCUUACCGAAUGAAUGAAAGUGACAUACCCAAAGGAUCAAGUUUUGAGUUAUGGGAAACCGAUGAGUUAUGCUCAUAUUUGAACAAAUGGUGAGUGAAAAAAAGAAAGAAAGAAGAAAUGAAAAGAAACACCGGAUAAAUUUCUCACUGUGAUUGCUGUUGCCAACUUUCUGGCUGGAAUCAGAUUUUAUUACCCGAUUUGUACCAUGUCAAGACUUAAUGUAAAAGAGGCUGGUUCCCGAGCUUCCUGGUAUCUGUCAUCUUGGAAAAGUGGCUUUGGCAUUGACAAGCUUAGAGACAAUGACUUACACACCUAUUGGCAAUCGGAUGGGAUUUUACCUCACACAAUUAAUAUUCAGUUCCAUAAAAAGACUAUUAUCACAGAAUUAUGCAUGUACGUUGACUACAAACUAGACGAAAGCUACACGCCAAGCAAAAUUUCCAUCAGGUCUGGUAGCCAUGCUUAUGCCUCAAGAGAAAUUACCGUUUUCGAACUUGAUGAACCGCAUGGUUGGGUGAAUAUUUCUCUUGAGAAUAACGGUCAACCAGUAAAGGCACAUUUUAUACAAAUUGCAAUCUUGUCAAAUCAUUCGGGGGGACGUGAUUGUCGUGUAAGGCAAGUGCGUUUAGUUUCUCCUCUGGAAAGUGGCUGUUCUGCCAUUUUUCACGUUCCACCAUUUUCGACAACUGAAUGUAUGUCAUACAGCUCCGUCCGAUAACAGCUUUUUCUAUAAAAAUGUUUUAACAGAACUAGAUCAAUUCAUCAACUGAACUAAGAUGCGGGAUGAUAAAUGGCGAUGAUUGCUUAUGAAUUAAUAUAUUUAAUAGGAAGAUAAGCCAUCAUAGUAAACAUACAUUCAGUCUUUCUCUAGUGGAAAUAUGGCUUCAUUAGAAUUAUAAGUAAAUUAGAUAGGAAAAGUUAGACGUGACAGCAGUUCUGGUUUUGUGAAAACUAUUCUUCUUGGAGCGUAUAUUGUUAGCAGACUGUGUUUGCAUUUUUGAAGAGUGGCCAGAAUUAAAGAUCUGCAUCAAUUUUUUUCUUUGUUUAAUUGCUUUGUUUUCUAGUUCUGAUGUGUUAUUUUUUUAUGGUUUUUAGUACUUUUAUUUAUGUUAUUUCGCCAUAUUCUGGUCUGUAACAUAACGACGGAAUUAAAUAAUUAUAAUACGCUGGAAAGUUCUGGUAUCAUAUGUCUAACAGUGUUAAGACGCAGAAGCAUUUCUGAGCUGGACUUUAAAUGUAUAAUGAAUGUGUUACAAAAAUUCAUGUUGAAAUAGCUUAAUGACAUUGCAAUGUAUUUGUGUAACUUAAUAAAAUAUAAUAAAAAUAUUAUUAA